CUUCUUUUUAAACUGCAGUUAAUGGCAUUCAGUUCAUCACACAAGUUAAUGUAGCAAGACUGGACAAAGCUCGGUUUCAAUUUUCGAGGUGAGGGUUUCUAUUCCUUUAGUUAUAUUCUGUAGAAUAUUGCAUCCACUAUGAGGAACUAGAAGCUAGGUGAACACAAAAUCAUUGAAAAAAUAACCAAACCAUUAAAACUAAAACAUCACAUGAUACUCUUUCAGGGUAUGUAUGGAAUCCAAACAAUACCCUCAAGAGUUAAUAAGUCUUCACAAAUUCACCCGCUAUGAGAUGUUAGAAGCUAGGUUCACACAAAUUCACGAGAAAAAUAGACAAAUCAUUAAAACCAAAGAAACUCCCAAGAUUUUAAGUCUUUACAAAUUCCCCUGCUAUGAGAAGCUAGGUGUACACAUAAAAUCGCUAGAACAGACAAACCAUAAAAACAACACCUAAUGCAUGCUUUGUUCAGAGUAUUUCCUCUACCUUCUUGAUCCUUAAGGUUGCAUGUAUACGACUCAGUAAACCGGGAAAGCACGUGUUUAUCUUCUCAUUGAUCUUGUCGAGCUCUUCAUCCUUGACGUAAUGGACAUAAACAUUUCGUAUUACUCGGAUCAAAUCCUCAACGCUAUUCCCAUUUAAUUUUUCUCAUUUCUCUUUUUGUGUAAAUUUUUUUGACUUAUCCAGAUAACCAUCUAUGACUAUCUUGGUGUCCCAAUUUCUGAAUUCUUCAAAAUCAAGGCCUCUAAUUUUCGUAUCAAAACAAGGACCAUUGAGCCUUGUUUUGUGCUUCUUUGAUUGGUGAAAAUCAAAGUAACAUUUGAGCCUACUGAACUCACUCUUCAAAGUUGGGUGAUCGAUGAGCAUAGAGACAAACCUAUCAUAACUAGGAAACAGAUUAAGUUUUCAGGUAUAAGAUUAAGUUUUCAAAUGAAUAAAAGUGCUUUUAUAGAAAAUCUUUUCGGGUUCCAAAAACACUUGAAGUGCUUUUCCUGUAUUGUUUCCAAAAAAUUUCCACAAAAAACGUUUUUGGUCAUUUUAAAAGCACUUCCAAACAAGCCUAAACUUGUUUACUUACUUCCACAAGUAAGUUUGCCCACCAUUUGUGAAGCAAUUGAGAAGUUGUGUCCUAUCCACUAUCGUCAGUGGGAAUUUAUCAGUGAUAAAUUCACCCAAAUCUGACAAGUCUUGAAACCUUUGCGUAUGGCCGUCAUUCCCACUCUUAAUGUUAAAAAUCAUCACAUCAUCGCCUAAGAUCACAUAGUUGGAUACUUUCUUUAAUUCCCUAUGAAUCUGAUCCUUGUUGUGCAUAUACUGUAUCGUCAUAAGUGUCUUCCUACACAAGUAAGCAACUUUAAUAAGUUCCACGUACACGUAUAGUCACACACACGCACACACAAAGAAACACAUGAACACUUACUAACGAGCAUUCUCCACCACAGGUCGGUGCAAUUGUUUCUGUUUGUCCACUGAUUGUAGGUGGAAAAUGUUCGUUAGUAAGCGUUCAUGUGUUUCUUUGUGCGUGCGUGCGUGUGACUAUACGUGUACGUGGAACUUAUUAAAGUUGCUUACUUGUGUAGAAAGACACUCAAGACAAUAUAAUACAUGCACAACAAGGAUUAGAUUCGUGGGGAUUAAAGAAAGCAUCCAGUUAUGCGAUCUUAGGCGAUGAUGUGAUGAUUUUUAACAUUAAGGACAGGAAUGACAGCCACACGCAAAGGUUUCAAGACUUGUCAGAUUUUGACGAAUUUAUCAUUGAUAAAUUCCCACUGACGAUAGUGGAUAGGACAUAAUUUCUCAAUUGCUUCAAAAAUGGUGGGCAGGCUUACUCGUGGGAGUAAGUAAACAAGUUUAGGCUUGUUUAGAAAUGCUUUUAAAAUGACCAAAAACGCUUUUUGUGGAAAUGUUUUUGGAAACAAUCUAGGAAAGUGCUUUUGGAACCCAAAAACAUUUUCUCUAAAAGCACUUUUAUUCAUUUGAAAGCACUUCCAAAUGAUUGAUUAGUUGUUCAAUUAAAUUAUUUGGUAUAUUAUUCUUAUACCUGAAAAUUUAAUUUGUUUCCUAGUUAUGACAGGUUUGUCUCUAUACUCAUCGAUCACCCAACUUUGAAGAGUGAGUUCAACAAGCUCAAAUGUUACUUUGAUUUUCACCAAUCAAAGAAGCACAAAACAAGGCUCAAUGGUCCUUGUUUUGAUACGAAAAUUAAAGGCCCUGAUUUUGAAGAAUUCAGAAAUUGGGACACCAACAUAAUCAUAAAUGGUUAUCUAGAUAAGUUAAAAAAAUUAACACAAAAAGAGAAACGAGAAAUUAAAUGGGAAUAGUGUUUAGGAUUUGAUCCGAGUAAUACAAAAUGUUUAUGUCCACUAUGUCAAGGAUGGAGAGCUCGACAAGAUCAACGAGGAGAGAAACACGUGUUUUCCCGGUUUACUGAGUCGUAUACAUGCAACCUUAAGGAUCAAGAAAGUGUAGGAAAUACUCUGAACAAAGCAUGCAUCAGGAUUUGUUUUUAUGGUUUGUCCAUUGUUCUAGUGAUUUUAUGUGUACACCCAGCUUCUAGCUUCUCAUAGCAGGUGAAUUUGUAAAGACUUAAAAAUCUUGGGAGUUUCUUUGGAUUCAUGUAUACUUGAAAGAGUUAAAGGUGUUGUUUAGUUUUAAUGAUUUGUCUAUUUUUCCCUUUGUGUGAACCUAGCUUCAAACGGAUGAAUUUGUGAAGACUUAUUAACUCUUGAGGGUAUUGUUUGGAUUCCAUGCAUACCCUGAAAGAGUACCAGAUACUGUUUUAGUUUAAUGGUUUGGCUAUUUUUUCAGUGAUUUUGUGUUCACCUAGCUUCUAGCUUCUCAUACCGAAUGCAAUAUUCUACAGAAUGAAACUAAAGGAAUAGAAACCCUCACCUCAAAAGUUGAUAAGCAGGCUGUUUGUAGGUGGAGAACAUUCGUUAAUGAGCAGGUUUUGAUGUGCCAAGCCGGAGCUGUUUCAGAAGUGUCUCGCGGCCAUUUUUUUUAGUUUUGUUGAGUAUGGCACCAAGGUAGACUCCACUGCUUUUCCGUC
This 3047-nucleotide long non-coding RNA is filed under the name Malus domestica (apple). RNAcentral's name for it is "long non-coding RNA (MDOM_LNC014311)". Lineage: Eukaryota; Viridiplantae; Streptophyta; Magnoliopsida; Rosales; Rosaceae. The record is from RNAcentral.